Long non-coding RNA from Felis catus (domestic cat), 796 nucleotides. RefSeq lists it as uncharacterized. The record is from RefSeq and is a predicted model, not a curated record. The transcript is spliced from 3 exons. NCBI's taxonomy places the organism in Eukaryota, Metazoa, Chordata, Mammalia, Carnivora, Felidae.
AGGAUUUCCCACUUCUAAACCUAAGUUGAUCUGUCUGCAAGGAACAAGGAAAAUGCCAGGGCUUCCAGAAUUAAGGGAAAUCCAGGAUAAGAAAGACUAAAACACUUGACCAAUGAAGAAAACCCCUAUGAAUGCAGUGAGUGUGAAAAGGCCUUCAGUUGGAAAUCUCAUCUUGUGUGACAUCCGAAAAUCCACCAUGGAAAAAAUUCUCUGAAUGUGGCAUGGAAUAGGGUCCCAUGAGAACCCAAGUUUUGUGGGGUGGACUUUUAGGUGUUCCAACACCAUCUGUUGAAGAGACUGUCCUUUUCCCAUUGAACGACCUUGGAACCCUUGUUCAAAAUCAAUUGACCACAUACACAAAGCUUUAUUUAUGCCUACUCUCCUAUUCCAUUGGUCUAUAUGUCUGUCUUUAUGCCAGAACCACACUGUUUCUGAUUACUGUUAGUAAGUUUUGAAAUUAGGAAGUUUGAAGCCUCCAACAUUGCUCAUUCUUUUCAGAACUGUUUUGAGUAUUUGGGGUCCUUUGAGAGUCCCUAUGACGUGUAGGAUUCAUUUUUCCUAUAUCUGAAAAAAAUGUCGUUAAGGAUCCUGACAGAUAUUACAUUAAAUCUAUAGAACGCUUUGGGUACUGUGACAUCUUAACACUACUAAGUCUCCCAAUACAUGAACACGGUAUGUCUUUCCGUUAAUUUAUGUCCUUUUAAAAUUUCUUCUGGCAUUUUUUUGUAGUUUUCAAUGCAUAAAACUUUCUUUUUAAUUUUUUAAUGUUUAUUUUUGAGGAAGAGAGAGAGAGAGA